CACGACGUAAUGCAUUAAUGGAAGUACAAAUGCCAGUGAUUAAGAACGCCGAAUGCAAAAUAGCUUAUUCCAAAUUUCCUAAUGCACCUGAUAUCACUGAUGGUAUAAUAUGCGCCGAACAUGCUCAGGGUGGAGAGGAUUCUUGUACGGCUGACCGCGGCGGACCACUGCUGAUACAACAUGAAUUAACCUCGUAUUUAAUAGGUAUUGUGUCUUAUGCUUAUAAGUGCGGCACAGCUGGUUAUCCCAGCGUUUACACUAGGGUCACAUCGUACCUUGACUUCAUUCUCCAAGCGAUGCAAUAAUAUGAUAUUACUGUUCCAUAAAUAUCAUUGUGUAAAAAACGUAAAGUUGGAUUUUCUUAUUGUGGAGAUAAGAAACAGCUCAAAUUUACAUUGUUUUGUACGUUACAAAUUAUAGGCUUAAAAUGUACGAAAUGUAACUUUGAAACGACACUAAUUUUUUACGCACGAUAAACCUCCACGACUUAGAUUAUAGAUUCCUAUACGACUCUCAGUAAAAAUUUAUCCGCACUCCAGAUAGUUAAAACUUCUGUCGACCGUAUUGAUCCAUCUGCACUCUUCGUAUGACGUCAAUAUCUGUUCAGUGCUGCUG
RNA transcript from Bombus huntii, 615 nucleotides. It is a transcript of the gene named venom serine protease Bi-VSP-like, with no coding region annotated. The transcript is spliced from 3 exons. NCBI's taxonomy places the organism in Eukaryota, Metazoa, Arthropoda, Insecta, Hymenoptera, Apidae. The record is from RefSeq and is a predicted model, not a curated record.